GAUGAACGCUGGCGGCGUGCCUAAUACAUGCAAGUCGAGCGAACGGACGAGAAGCUUGCUCCUCUGAUGUUAGCGGCGGACGGGUGAGUAACACGUGGAUAACCUACCUAUAAGACUGGGAUAACUUCGGGAAACCGUAGCUAAUACCGGAUAAUAUUUUGAACCGCAUGGUUCAAAAGUGAAAGACGGUUUUGCUGUCACUUAUAGAUGGAUCCGCGCUGCAUUAGCUAGUUGGUAAGGUAACGGCUUACCAAGGCUACGAUGCGUAGCCGACCUGAGAGGGUGAUCGGCCACACUGGAACUGAGACACGGUCCAGACUCCUACGGGAGGCAGCAGUAGGGAAUCUUCCGCAAUGGGCGAAAGCCUGACGGAGCAACGCCGCGUGAGUGAUGAAGGUCUUCGGAUCGUAAAACUCUGUUAUUAGGGAAGAACAAAUGUGUAAGUAACUAUGCACGUCUUGACGGUACCUAAUCAGAAAGCCACGGCUAACUACGUG
RNAcentral lists this ribosomal RNA (497 nucleotides) under uncultured bacterium. Its description in RNAcentral is "partial 16S ribosomal RNA". It matches the Rfam family "Bacterial small subunit ribosomal RNA", at positions 28 to 507 of the family's 1533-position model. The record is from RNAcentral.